UUUACAGAUGUUUAGUGCGCCUGGCACUCUGCUGGUCUCCAGUACUCUGUUCUGGAAAUCCAGUAGAGAACAAGGCAAUCCAGUCCCUACUCUUUCUGUGCUUUUGGUUUUCGAGGGGACACAGGGAGGUCUUUGAUGGGGCUAGCGAGAGCUGCUUGUCUUGUGGGUAAAGCCGAGUUAGAGGGUGAAGAGUGAGUGUGUAGAGGAGAAUCGGAAACAGUGUAUAGAGAUCACUCCUUUUUUCUUUUUCUUUUUUUUUAGUGCUGGGGACUGAACUCAGGGUCUUGUGCGUGCUAGGUAAGCACUCAACCACUGAGCUACACACCAUCCCUGAAAGAGCCCUGAGAUCACUAGUUCAGCUGGGAAAGUAGCUCAGUGGUGGAGUGUUUGUGUAGCAUGCGUGAGCCUCUGGUUUGGAUCCCCAGCACCACCUGUUGUCAGGCUUCUUUUUUCUUACAGAUGGGAAAGAUGAAAAGAAUAGAAGAGGGGCUGGGGCUCAGGGGUAGAGCGCUUGCCUAGCAUGUGUGAGGCUUUGGGUUUGAUUCUCAGCACUGCAUAUAAAUAAAUAAGAUAAAGGGAAAAAUAUAAAGAAUCAAGGAGACCGGGUGAUGGUAAAAAGAUAGUAAAAGAUGGUAAAAAGGCAGGCGCUGGGCAUGGUGCCACACGCCUGUAAUCCCAAUGGUUUGGUGGGAGCUGAGGCAGGAGGAUUACAAGUUCCAGGCCAGCCUGGGCAACUUAAUGAAAUCCUGUCUCAAAAUAAAAAUAAAAAAGGGCUGAGGAUAUAGCUCAGUUGGUAGAGUGCUUGCUUUGCAUGCACAAGGCCCUGGGUUCAAUCCCCAGCAGAACACACAUAAAACAAUAAUAAUAAAAUAAAAUAAAAGGGCUGAGAUAUAGCUCAGUGAUAGAGCACUCCGGGUUCAUUCCCCAGUAUCACAAAACAAAACAAAACAUCAGACACAAAUCUGUGUCCUGACAGAAUAGGCAAAGAUAGACAAUAAGCAUCCUGAGUAAGUAAAUUACAUAAUAUCAUAGUAUGUUAGUUAUGACAUUAGAAAAUCCAGUAGAGCGUUGUAAGGAGGAAUCAGGAAUACCAGUAGAGGUUGCAAUUAAAAAAAGAUAUUUUAGGCUCCUCCCCGUAGUGUGCCCGGCUCUCUUACAGUUGCUGUGGAGGAUUAUGUUGUUAAGGGACAUUCUGCUCACCGGUAUUCCAAGCUUUGAAAAAACUACACUAUGCAAAGAACUUGUAUCACGAUCAGGACUGAGGGCUGGGGAUAUAGCCCAGUUGGUAGAGUACUUGCCUUGCACAGACAAGGCCCUGGGUUCAAUCCCCAGCACCACACACACACACACACACACACAAAGAUCAGGACUGAAAUACAUGAAAUCAAUGUGGGUGAUUUGGCUCAAGACGUUUGAUCACCGGAUAUCAUGGAGUCUGGCAAGAUGGCUUCUCCCAUGAACAUUACAGAAAGACACACAGAUGAUGGCACAAAUCGUGAAGGAUAUGGGAUUGCAGAAUUUGAGCCAAGAGUUAUAAAUCAGAUGUUGGGAUUUGCCUUCUAAUAUGUGGCCCCAAUUCUGGAUGAUGCUAAAAUUUAUCCCAGCCAUGCUAAGAAGCUACUGUGGAUGCAGAUGGUGAGUGAUUGGCAAUCUGGCGUGGAGCUGACCAGUCUUCACCUUUCUUCCCCCAGAAAAUUUUUUUUUAUUAGAUAUUGCAAGGCAAAGAAAUCAAAUUCCUUUGCCAUUGAUCAGGCCAUAUUCAGAUCCUAGAUUGCCUCCUGAUGGAUAUUGCUUAACAGCUACAAAGUAUAGGCUCAAGUUUUUACAAAAAAAAAAAAAAAAAAGCAUGUACUUCUGUGGGGAGAAUAACAGUUCCGUGGUUAAGUGUUGGUUCAGUUACUAGCAGACCAAGGACUCCCACACUGGGCACACCAACCCUACAAACCAUGUUGUCCCAUGUCUGUUUCAGCUAAGUAGGGACUCCAACGUCUCCAUCAGGGCACAGGUUUACCAACAGAAGCCUCAAUUCCUGCAGCAUCAGCAGUUCAGAAUGUUGUGAUUAAUGAUGGAAUCAUUGUUAAUUGGAUAAAAAAAUUCCUUUUUUAAAAAUUUUGUUAGCUGUUGACGGACCUUUAUUUUAUUAUUUUUAUGUGGUGCUGAGAAUUGAAUCCAGUGCCUCCGGCUUGUUAGGCAAGCGCUCUACCAC
Molecule: long non-coding RNA, 2206 nt
Filed under: Marmota monax (woodchuck)
Lineage: Eukaryota; Metazoa; Chordata; Mammalia; Rodentia; Sciuridae
Rfam family: tRNA (bases 783-840)
Source: RNAcentral